Molecule: ribosomal RNA, 468 nt
Filed under: uncultured bacterium
Lineage: Bacteria
Description: SSU rRNA
Rfam family: Bacterial small subunit ribosomal RNA
Source: RNAcentral
AGGAUAAACGCUGGCGGCGUGCCUAACACAUGCAAGUCGAACGCGCUUUCGGGCUUCGGUGCGAGAGCGAGUGGCGGACGGGUGAGUAACACAUGGGUACCUGCCUUUCAGUGAGGGAUACCGGCGAGAAAUCGCCGACAAUACCGCAUAGGCUUGUGGGAACACAAGCAAAGUGGCGCAAGCCACGCUGGAAGAUGGGCCUGUGGCCGAUUAGCUAGUUGGGGGGGUAAUGGCCUCCCAAGGCGACGAUCGGUAGCUGGUCUGAGAGGACGAUCAGCCACACUGGGAUUGAGAACGGCCCAGACUCCUACGGGGGGCAGCAGUGAGGAAUUUUCCGCAAUGGACGAAAGUCUGACGGAGCAACGCCGCGUGCAGGAGGAAGGUUUCGGAUCGUAAACUGCUUUUCUCGGGGACGAGCAAGGACGGUACCCGAGGAAGAAGCCCGGCUAACUACGCGCCAGCAGCCGC